This is a non-coding RNA of Mycena polygramma, 86 nucleotides long. Lineage: Eukaryota; Fungi; Basidiomycota; Agaricomycetes; Agaricales; Mycenaceae. The record is from the annotation of a GenBank genome assembly.
GGCUCGGUAGCGUCUGGGACGCCUCUGCGUAGAAUUGAGACGCGGAAUAUUUCUGCAGACUGCCCGUUCGAUUCGGGCCCGAGCCA